Molecule: long non-coding RNA, 1645 nt
Organism: Gallus gallus (chicken)
Lineage: Eukaryota; Metazoa; Chordata; Aves; Galliformes; Phasianidae
Source: Ensembl
GGCUGAUGAACAGCCUUUCACCCCGACUCAUUUGCCCAUUUAGGAGCCCAGCUGAGGUUAACCCCAGUUAAUUACCAGAUUGCUCUCAGCUGCGUUCUGUUGGGGGGAUCUCAAACCGAUGCCCAGAGGACAACAGAGCACCAUACAGAGCAGUGCAAGCUGGAGCUGAGGGAGCUGCCCUGGGAUUAAAUUCAUCAUGGAGAACCAACUUGAAGCAGUUUAUGGGUUGGUACGUAGAGUAUGCUUAGGCUGUUUCUUUCCAAAAGAGAAAUGGGUGAUUUUAAAUGCCAUCACAGCCUUCUCUCAUUAGUGUAAGUUAACUUGAGAGUGCUUUUCCAUUCUGAAUGUCAUCACAUGGAGCAGAAAUCACUCAGCAGCACCGCGAGCUCUGAAAGGGUGAAUGAUUUUAAGUUCUUGAAACUUGAGAAAGAAGAUGGGGAGGACAGAGGUUGUAAUGAAACCCUCACUGGGAACCUGAGGGCAGAGGGGGAAUAUGAGCUACUGCAGUGUCAGAAAUUCUUGGAUUUGUUGAAACUUGGUUCUGGAAGGAGUGAGCCAGAAAGAAAUCCCCCCAAAAAAGAAGAGGAAAAAAUGCAAUAUCCUUUCACUUCAGUGCGUUGUUGUAAGUAUAGUCAUUUCUGGGAGAAGUAUCAAGGCUUACUGCUGUUCUCGGCACUGCCACGAGGGAUGAAUGAGCUCUCAUGAAUGGAAGAAUCAUCAUCAUCGUGUAGAAAUCAAUGUGGUUUGGCCUUGGAAAGAGUGAUUGUAGCUCAACCGCUUGUGUACAAGCAAGAGUUCUCUUCUAAUUGCCUGGCUUGCCAAGAAGGGAAUUUGGCUGUUUUCUUCUCCCUGGGAGUAACUUUGACUUCACGAGGAUAAACUCAGUUGGUUAAGGUGUAUUUAGGAACACUUCUGUCUUGUCCUUUGUGAGGUCUUACUCGAGCAAGGGAGGACUCAGCUUGAGGUUGAACUGCCACAGAGAUAUCAGAGCUGAAGGAGAAAGGCUGUUGUCUGUAAUGCUCUCUUGUUGUCAUAACCAGUGUGAUGUGGAGCCCAUGGGAGGUGAUGAAGACAGGCAGCCUAUGGAGACACAUUGCGCUGCGUGCGGAGUGUGUGUGAUACCCUUACCACAACAGAACCUGCUAUGAGUUAUGAUGUGAAACUCCUGCACAGGGCAAGAGAAACCACUGCUGCCUCCGGAGCUCUGCUGCUCCAAGGCCUCUCCGUCUGGUGGCUGCUGCCAGAGAGCUGGAAACGCUCUGAGUGUUCCUGGGUUUGAACCUCUGAGUGCCUGUGUAAACCUGGACCAGCUGCUUCCACCUUCCGUGCUUCCCGGAGCGGUUCCCAAACAAAAGCACGCUUGCUAUAAAUUUCCAGUGCCACUUUGGCAGCUCGUGUAUUGACUUUUCCAUCCUCCUUUUCUGGAUUUUGUUUCCUCUCACCUUUUAAGUUUCUUCCGUUUUCCCCAAGGGAGUACUUACGUUCUCAGAUUGAAAACAGAAGGUUGUUCAGGUUGAUUGUUAGCAUGCUGUCAAACGGUAUUUUCCAUAUAAAAAUAUUUAUUUUACUUCAAGCCACAUCUUUCUGAUGGAAGAAGGGCUUAAAGGAGUCAGCGUCUGGGAGCUUCUGUGCAUAAAUGUUUCAG